Long non-coding RNA from Ictalurus punctatus (channel catfish), 1330 nucleotides. NCBI's taxonomy places the organism in Eukaryota, Metazoa, Chordata, Actinopteri, Siluriformes, Ictaluridae. The record is from Ensembl.
CUGGAACUGUAGUUAAUUUAUUCUAAGCAGGACACAAUUACAGCUUCCUUUUUGUUUUCCUUCCACAACCCACUUCCACUUAAAUAUACACUAUACGGCCAACGGUUUCUGCACACCUGACCAUCACAUCAUACCGUAUGUGGGCCUUCCUCAAAAUUGCCGCAGAGACGCACACAGUGGUCUAGAAUGAUCGUGUAUGCUGUAGCAUUACCAAUUUCCUUUCACUGGAACUAAGAAGCCCAGCCGAAACGUGUUCAAGCGAGAUCAUGAAAACAUGGUUUGCCAAGGUUGGAGUGAUUCAACACAAAGCCUUGAACGUAAUCACAUUCAACACCUUCAGGGUGAACCGGAACACUGACUGCACCCCAGGCCUCCUGGCAUGACGUCAGGAACUGACCUCACUAAAGCUCUAGUGACUGGAUGAGCACAAAUCCCCACAGCCACACUCAAAUCUAGUGGAAACAACAAAGGGGGCCUACAUCUGGAAUGGGAUCUUGGGUAUGAUAUUCAGGUGUCUACAAACAUUUGGCCACAUAGUGUAUAGUACACUAUAUGUAUUUGCUAAUGGUAACCAAAAUAUUGGCUAAAAUCACCACUAUUGUGUCACAUAAAAAAACAUUAUCUUAAUGCCUACUGUGAUCCCAAAGGAAAUUGCUCAAGUUCAAUUCAAAUUUCUUUUUGUAUGGUGCUUUUAGCAAAGCCUUGUUACAGAAAUCCAGAUGUAUAUUUUAAUUCCUAACAAGUCAGAGCUGACAAUGACACGUAAAAUCUCCCCGAGGCAACGUGAAGAAGAAACCUUUUAGAGGAACCAGACUGAAAAGGGAACCCAUUUUCAUCUCGGUAACGCCAGAUAAUAAGGGAGCAUCAUUAUGGCUCCCGCUAUUCUCACGCUCCCGUGAUGAGCACAGCACACCAUUUAUGAUUUCAGCAGCAGGUAUUGUGUUCAAAUCUACAGCAUCUAUGUGAGAAUAACCAGCAAGAGUGAGUCUUGGGUAUGAACUUUUAUUUUUUAGAAGCAGAGCAUCAGGAUGAAUCCGGCAGAACGGCAGCGUGAGAGGAGCCAUGGUAAAAGUGUAUCAGGUCAGACGGUGCAUGUCUGAGUAGGAGCGCAUGUCAACUCCGUUCCCAUUUACCUGAAACGAUGCUUGAUAUUUGAAAUGAGACCCUCGCUGACUGUGACUCUGGGCAGUGAUACAACUGUAUGCCUGCAUUGUUUUACAUCACCACUAGAGGACGCCCUACAUCGCUGUUACAAGGAAAGCAAGUAAGAUGGAGACUGAAGAUCAACACUAUACAUGUAAUAAUCUAAUGGUACAUGUACUAUUCUUAA